This is a long non-coding RNA of Cylas formicarius (sweet potato weevil), 373 nucleotides long. RefSeq lists it as uncharacterized. NCBI's taxonomy places the organism in Eukaryota, Metazoa, Arthropoda, Insecta, Coleoptera, Brentidae. The record is from RefSeq and is a predicted model, not a curated record. The transcript is spliced from 2 exons.
GUUUGCGCCUUAUCGCGAUUCGAACUCCAUAAUUUUUGCAAAUAUUUUAGUUCCGAAACAUAAUUCACCUAAUAGAUAUUCAAGUAAUUACCUUCAGAUCUAUAUAUGUAUGCUAAUUGGAGUGGCUAUAACAGACGUUGCAUUUGGAUUGAAGCCCGUUACAAUUUACUGAGACAUGGCGAUUGUCAGAGCUGCAAUGUUGUUGCUAUGUUUAGUGAGUCUACUGCUUUGCUGUCAGCAGGCAGUUUUUGCGGCAGUACCUUAUCGACAAGCUAAUGAUGCUCUGGUUGAUUCCAAUCUGGGCGAUGAUCUCCUGUUAGAUGCAGGGAGCAAAUAGAUGUGUUAUAAAUGUAAAAUAAAAGAUUGUUUGAAA